This 253-nucleotide ribosomal RNA is filed under the name uncultured bacterium. RNAcentral describes it as "partial 16S ribosomal RNA". It matches the Rfam family "Bacterial small subunit ribosomal RNA", at positions 524 to 776 of the family's 1533-position model. The record is from RNAcentral.
UACGGGGGGGGCAAGCGUUGUUCAGAAUUACUGGGCGUAAAGGGCUCGUAGGCGGCCAACUAAGUCAUACGUGAAAUCCCUCGGCUUAACCGGGGAACUGCGUCUGAUACUGGAUGGCUUGAGAUUGGGAGAGGGAUGCGGAAUUCCAGGUGUAGCGGUGAAAUGCGUAGAUAUCUGGAGGAACACCGGUGGCGAAGGCGGCAUCCUGGACCAACACUGACGCUGAGGAGCGAAAGCCAGGGGAGCAAACGGG